This 228-nucleotide long non-coding RNA is filed under the name Elaeis guineensis (African oil palm). RNAcentral describes it as "long non-coding RNA (EGUI_LNC037852)". The record is from RNAcentral. Lineage: Eukaryota; Viridiplantae; Streptophyta; Magnoliopsida; Arecales; Arecaceae.
UUCGGAUGAUGUGGGGUCACCAGUGACCCCACAAUCAUGCAGAGCAGUGCCAGACUCUCAGAGUCAGCGGUGUGGUAGAGGAUUUGCCUAGCUCAUAGCAUUUCUAACUCGAUCGAAGGAUAGACAGCUUGUCCACAUUCAAAAUCGCUUGUAAAUAUUAUAUCUUCACUGAAUAUAUUUAAAAUUUAGUCAUUUUAGAGUCUAAUAUUUAUUGAUCAAAAUAAAUUU